Long non-coding RNA from Molossus molossus (Pallas's mastiff bat), 963 nucleotides. RefSeq lists it as uncharacterized. The transcript is spliced from 4 exons. The record is from RefSeq and is a predicted model, not a curated record. Lineage: Eukaryota; Metazoa; Chordata; Mammalia; Chiroptera; Molossidae.
CUUUUCUCAGGAAGUUACUACAGGAUGUGUUCCACCCAAAUGAGGUAGUGAACCUAGAAAGAGGAAGAGAUGUUAUACAAAUGGAGAAUCAACACAGAAAAAAGAUCAAGGGAAGCCCAGGAAGACAACUAUACAGCAGACCAGGAAAGCAAUCAGAACAGGACAACAGAUUUAGAAAAGAGGAUAAGCCUGUGGCCUGGGUCAUCAGAGAGGAAUGCCUUGAACUCUGAGGCAGGAGACACCCUUGAAUGUUGCAGAAUGGCCCCUUCUUCCACAGGGGAAGUUUGUGACCAAACAGUGGCACCAGAAGGCAGACCUAGGGCAUGCAGCACAGCAAUCUUGAGCAGAGAAGACACUUAAUAAGAAGUUUGCAGAAUUUAAAUGAAGAUCCUAAACUACAGAAUUUGAAGUGUGCUUCUGUGGCAGAGACUACUAGAUGUCCGCUCCUCUUAUUCUCAUUUUCUUCUGAACCAAAAGGAUAUCCACUGUUCAGCCACCGGGCAUAAAGACGACAUUGCCCAGCCUGUCUUGAAGCUUUCUGGCUGACAUCAGGAAAGCUGCAACUCUCCAUUAUCACACCAUCUUGAGGAAACAGAUAUUGCCCUCCUGAACUUUGGUAAGAAGCAUAACAGAUGCAGCAGCUCAGGACCGACUACUCCUGGAAAGAACGUUUUUGCAUAGACUCUCCUCCCAGUAAAGCUAAAGGACGCUACUUUUUAAAAAUCUCUAUAAAAUGAUGUCAUUUUCCUUGUAGGUAAUUUUCAUUGUCUAUAUUUGUGUUUCUCUGAAUAUAAUUGGUAGGAACGCCAUUUAAAAUGCUAAAAUAUCUGGUAUGUAUUGAGAGAGAGAAUGAAUAUUAGAGAAGAACUGAGAAUUCAAGUAAAAUGAAAUAUAUUCAGUGGUUAGAUAGCCUUUAUUUUUAUAUUCCUAAAAUUGCUAGAUUGUUUGAAUUGGAAAUAUCUA